AGAAACUGCCCUUAGCAAAAGACCUACCACCUGCCAGGUCACACCAGCCUCAGGAGAAGCUGCACAAAUGGCUGGAAGACGCAAGCCUCAGGAGAAUGCAGAGAUAAGAGUGCAUGUCCAGAGUGGCCACAGUGGCAAGGGUAGAGACUAUGUAGUGAGGCGAACAGCAUGGGCCCCUACUUACCAAGGCUGAUCUAGCCACUGAUGCCACCAAGUAACCAACCUGCCAGCAACAGACACCAAAAAGAAAGGGACAACCAGAAUCUUGUAAGAACUGUUCACAGAAGAAAAAAAAAAAAAAAAAAAGAACUCACAGAACUUCUUAUAUGAAGAAAGUGGAUCUGAGCAGUCCAAAGGUGUUAAUCCUGAAAGCACUUCACAAUGAACUUCGUGGGCACAACUCUCCAUCUGAGAGUCAGUUUCCACCUAGGACAUCCCAGUUCAACUGACAAUACCACCUCUUAAUAGCUAGUGACCUUGGCAAGUAAAUUCCCAGCUGCAAGCCUCACUUUCCCAUUAAGUGGGACAAUAGAAAUACCUGGCUGUCAUGAAAGUUAAACAAAAUAAUACUUGCAAGGGACUUGGAGAAGCAUAUGGCAUCCAGUAGGUGUUUCCCAGCUGGGAGGAGGAACAGCCAAAAAGCUGGAAUAGAAAAGAUUCAGUGUGACUCCUGAAAGAAAUGAACAGCAAUGGAAAGAGAGGGAAGUUUGCAUGUGUUAGAGAAGGUUCAGAGAGCACUUUGGUGGACAGAGAUAUUACACACACCACCAUCUUUCUUUCCUUUCUCCUCCAAUUUUGUUCUGAGGGAACAAUGACUUUUUUUCUUAAGAUUUUAUUUAUUUAUUCAUGAGAGACAGAGAGAGGCAGAGACACAGGCAGAGGGAGAAGCAGGCACCCUGCAAGGAGCCUAUGCAGGACUGGAUCCCAGGACCUCAGGAUCACGACCUGAGCAGAAGGCAGACACUCAACCACCAAGCCAAGCAGGCAUCCCACAAUGUGUCCACUUUAAAUAAAAUAAAAAAUACUCAACUUCUCAGACUCUUUCUGCUGAAGUUGGCCAGUUGAUGCAAUUCUGCCAAUGAGAUCUAAGCAGAACUACUAGAUGGAGUUUCAAAAAAAAGACCCUAUUGUUUUCCUGAUUUAAAAAAGAGAGAGAGACUCAGCUGGCAAGCAUGAUGGAGCUUUUGUCAUUUGCUUUUCAUUUUUCUGUCUCUCCACUGAGAACACAGAUUCAAGAUGAAGCAGCCAUUUUGCAAAAGAUAGAAGCUAAAGACAACUGAGGUCCCUGCCACUCCUGAGAGCAGCGAGCCCUGGCCUGAGCCCCCUGGAGUUCCGGCUCCAUGAGGAAAAGGAAAGGCCAUUUUGUUAUACAUGUGCAUACAGGGCUCAGUGCCAUGUGGCUGAAUGCACCCCGAAGAGAGUAGAGAGAGAAGGGGGGGGAGGUCAGCAACAGACCUAGAGGAGCAGAAGCACAGGUGACUUUCCCAAGUGUGACUAUGAGUUGCAUAUGGCAUAACAUCCAUAGGAAUUACCUUCAUUUUUAAUUGCGAGGUUCUCUCUCUGAAUGCAUUAUUACCUACAAACUAGGCCACAUGAAGCCAAGACUUAUUUGGGUUAUUUAUCAUUAUGUAAGUCUUUGGGGCAUCUCAGUGGCUCAGUGGGUUAAGUGGCUGCCUUUGCUCUGCUCAUGAUCCCCGUCCCUGGGAUCCAGCCACAAGUAGGGCUCCCUGCUCAGAAAGGAACUUGCUUCUCCCUCUCCCUCUGUGGCUCCCCCUGCUUGUGCUCCUACUCUCUCAAAUAAAAUCUUAAGAAAAUAAGUCUGUCAUUUAAGUUAUAGUAUUAUUAGAACUAUUAUAAUGAAAUACUGAAAUAGGAACACAUGUAACAGGUCGGGGGAGAAUGAGGGAUGGACACAGACUCUAUCAUGCCUCCACUCUUUUUAUCUGAGCCCAAAAUAAUUUGUCUAUCCUUUAUUUUUUUUUUAAGAUUUUAUUUAUUUAUUCAC
This is a long non-coding RNA of Canis lupus familiaris (dog), 2005 nucleotides long. RefSeq lists it as uncharacterized. The record is from RefSeq and is a predicted model, not a curated record. The transcript has 4 exons. Lineage: Eukaryota; Metazoa; Chordata; Mammalia; Carnivora; Canidae.